Molecule: ribosomal RNA, 912 nt
Filed under: uncultured bacterium
Lineage: Bacteria
Description: bacterial SSU rRNA
Rfam family: Bacterial small subunit ribosomal RNA
Source: RNAcentral
ACGCUGGCGGCGUGCCUAAUACAUGCAAGUCGAACGAGAGCGACCGGUGCUUGCACUGGUCAAUCUAGUGGCGAACGGGUGAGUAACACGUGGGUAACCUGCCCAUCAGAGGGGGAUAACAUUCGGAAACGGAUGCUAAAACCGCAUAGGUCCUUUAACCGCAUGGUUGAAGGAGGAAAAGAGGCGCAAGCUUCUGCUGAUGGAUGGACCCGCGGUGCAUUAGCUAGUUGGUGAGGUAACGGCUCACCAAGGCCGUGAUGCAUAGCCGACCUGAGAGGGUGAUCGGCCACAUUGGGACUGAGACACGGCCCAAACUCCUACGGGAGGCAGCAGUAGGGAAUCUUCCGCAAUGGACGCAAGUCUGACGGAGCAACGCCGCGUGAGUGAAGAAGGUUUUCGGAUCGUAAAACUCUGUUGUUAGAGAAGAACAAGUGCUAGAGUAACUGUUAGCGCCUUGACGGUAUCUAACCAGAAAGCCACGGCUAACUACGUGCCAGCAGCCGCGGUAAUACGUAGGUGGCAAGCGUUGUCCGGAUUUAUUGGGCGUAAAGCGAGCGCAGGCGGUUCCUUAAGUCUGAUGUGAAAGCCCCCGGCUCAACCGGGGAGGGUCAUUGGAAACUGGGGAACUUGAGUGCAGAAGAGGAGAGUGGAAUUCCAUGUGUAGCGGUGAAAUGCGUAGAUAUAUGGAGGAACACCAGUGGCGAAGGCGACUCUCUGGUCUGUAACUGACGCUGAGGCUCGAAAGCGUGGGUAGCAAACAGGAUUAGAUACCCUGGUAGUCCACGCCGUAAACGAUGAGUGCUAAGUGUUGGAGGGUUUCCGCCCUUCAGUGCUGCAGUUAACGCAUUAAGCACUCCGCCUGGGGAGUACGACCGCAAGGUUGAAACUCAAAGGAAUUGACGGGGACCCGCA